This 520-nucleotide ribosomal RNA is filed under the name Catharsius molossus. RNAcentral describes it as "eukaryotic LSU rRNA". It matches the Rfam family "Eukaryotic large subunit ribosomal RNA", at positions 754 to 1251 of the family's 3401-position model. The record is from RNAcentral. Lineage: Eukaryota; Metazoa; Arthropoda; Insecta; Coleoptera; Scarabaeidae.
CGCACUCCCGGGGCGUCUCGUUCUCAUAGCGAGAAGAGGCGCACCCAGAGCGUACACGCUGGGACCCGAAAGAUGGUGAACUAUGCCUGGUCAGGACGAAGUCAGGGGAAACCCUGAUGGAGGUCCGUAGCGAUUCUGACGUGCAAAUCGAUCGUCGGAACUGGGUAUAGGGGCGAAAGACUAAUCGAACCUUCUAGUAGCUGGUUCCCUCCGAAGUUUCCCUCAGGAUAGCUGGCGCUCGCCUUUGCGAGUCUCAUUCGGUAAAGCGAAUGAUUAGAGGCAUUGGGGUCGAAACGGCCUCAACCUAUUCUCAAACUUUAAAUGGGUGAGAUCUCCGGCUUGCUUGAAGCAUGAAGCCGCGAGAGAUAUAUAUAUAUCGGAUCACAGAGUGCCAAGUGGGCCACUUUUGGUAAGCAGAACUGGCGCUGUGGGAUGAACCAAACGCCGAGUUAAAGCGCCUAAAUCGACGCUUAUGGGGUACCAUGAAAGGCGUUGGUAACUUAAGACAGCAGGACGGUGG